CCCUUAGAUGUUCUGGGCCGCACACGCGCUACACUGAAGGAGGCAGCGUGUACUCCUGGAUCGAAAGAUUUGGGUAACCCGCGAAUCUCCUUCGUGCUAGGGAUUGAGGUUUGCAAUUAUCCUUCAUGAACGAGGAAUUCCCAGUAAGUGCAAGUCAUAAGCUUGCGCUGACUACGUCCCUGCCCUUUGUACACACCGCCCGUCGCUACUACCGAUUGAAUGAUUUAGUGAGGACUUCGGACUGGGACCGAUGCGGCUUUCGGGCUGCGUCGGUAUUCUGGAAAGAUGUGCAAACUGUAUCAUUUAGAGGAAGUAAAAGUCGUAACA
Molecule: ribosomal RNA, 327 nt
Filed under: uncultured eukaryote
Lineage: Eukaryota
Description: partial 18S ribosomal RNA
Rfam family: Eukaryotic small subunit ribosomal RNA
Source: RNAcentral